This 253-nucleotide ribosomal RNA is filed under the name uncultured bacterium. RNAcentral describes it as "partial 16S ribosomal RNA". It matches the Rfam family "Bacterial small subunit ribosomal RNA", at positions 524 to 776 of the family's 1533-position model. The record is from RNAcentral.
UACGAAGGGGGCUAGCGUUGCUCGGAAUCACUGGGCGUAAAGGGUGCGUAGGCGGGUCUUUAAGUCAGGGGGGAAAUCCUGGAGCUCAACUCCAGAACUGCCUUUGAUACUGAAGGUCUUGAGUUCGGGAGAGGUGAGUGGAACUGCGAGUGUAGAGGUGAAAUUCGUAGAUAUUCGCAAGAACACCAGUGGCGAAGGCGGCUCACUGGCCCGGUACUGACGCUGAGGUGCGAAAGCGUGGGGAGCAAACAGG